GGGCGUUAAGUUGCAGGGUAUAGACCCGAAACCCGGUGAUCUAGCCAUGGGCAGGUUGAAGGUUGGGUAACACUAACUGGAGGACCGAACCGACUAAUGUUGAAAAAUUAGCGGAUGACCUGUGGCUGGGGGUGAAAGGCCAAUCAAACCGGGAGAUAGCUGGUUCUCCCCGAAAGCUAUUUAGGUAGCGCCUCGUGAAUUCAUCUCCGGGGGUAGAGCACUGUUUCGGCUAGGGGGCCAUCCCGGCUUACCAACCCGAUGCAAACUGCGAAUACCGGAGAAUGUUAUCACGGGAGACACACGGCGGGUGCUAACGUCCGUCGUGAAGAGGGAAACAACCCAGACCGCCAGCUAAGGUCCCAAAGUCAUGGUUAAGUGGGAAACGAUGUGGGAAGGCCCAGACAGCCAGGAUGUUGGCUUAGAAGCAGCCAUCAUUUAAAGAAAGCGUAAUAGCUCACUGGUCGAGUCGGCCUGCGCGGAAGAUGUAACGGGGCUAAACCAUGCACCGAAGCUGCGGCAGCGAACGUAUCACCCAAGACAACUUUACGGAGUUGACGAUUGACGGAGCGAAGCGACGUCAAAGCGUUCAUUAAAGUCGAGUUGGCUUAGGGAUACGUUCGUUGGGUAGGGGAGCGUUCUGUAAGCCUGUGAAGGUGUGUCGUGAGGCAUGCUGGAGGUAUCAGAAGUGCGAAUGCUGACAUAAGUAACGAUAAAGCGGGUGAAAAGCCCGCUCGCCGGAAGACCAAGGGUUCCUGUCCAACGUUAAUCGGGGCAGGGUGAGUCGACCCCUAAGGCGAGGCCGAAAGGCGUAGUCGAUGGGAAACGGGUUAAUAUUCCCGUACUUGGUGUUACUGCGAAGGGGGGACGGAGAAGGCUAUGUUGGCCGGGCGACGGUUGUCCCGGUUUAAGCGUGUAGGUGUGUGUUCCAGGUAAAUCCGGUU
This 941-nucleotide ribosomal RNA is filed under the name Salmonella enterica. RNAcentral describes it as "partial 23S ribosomal RNA". It matches the Rfam family "Bacterial large subunit ribosomal RNA", at positions 690 to 1547 of the family's 2925-position model. RNAcentral also lists the same sequence under 1 other name. Lineage: Bacteria; Pseudomonadati; Pseudomonadota; Gammaproteobacteria; Enterobacterales; Enterobacteriaceae. The record is from RNAcentral.